GGCGGACUCGUAAAGCAAUAUUGAGCUGGAUUUCAGGAGAGGGUUGAGGUCCGGCGUUCCUAAAACUUCCUCUCUCUCUCCGUCUCCCCCAGUGUGUCCUGCCUUGGGUACAAUUUCCCAUAACAAAGACCAACUUUAGAGCGACUCCAAGCAGUAGCAGUUCUACUACUCUGCUGGAGACUGUGAGAAGUGUGUGUACUGUGUGAGUGAGAUCACGACAUUAGAGAAAAUCGAUCGAUAGAAUGGUGAGAUCUGGCACAGCUUCAUGUUUCAAGCUCAUCAAUUGCGCCGGCAACAAUGACUCCGUCGACAGAGAUGAUCUUCAAGCUCCUGAGAGUAAGGGCUCAAGUGAUAGAAGUAGGUGGAGUUUCCGGAAAAGAUCUGCAAGACAUCGAGUGCUGAGCAACUCUGUUACCUCAGAAACACCUUUUGUGAGCAAGACUGAUCCGGAUACUGCUGCUGUCAGCUUGCAGACGCAGGCUAGCUCUACUAUUCGAGAUAAAACCUCUGCUGCUCAAUGGACAGAGGAGAAAAACGAGGUGCAAAUUCCUGUGGAUUCAAAAUCAUCAUCAGCUAUAGCUUCUGCCGAGGAUGAGAACGGAAUUGCCAGCAUCCUGGAUGAAGCAAUUGUAAUUGUCAUCCAAUCUGCAGUUAGGAGAUAUCUGGCUCAAAGAGUGUUAUUGAAGCAUAAGAAUAUAAUUAAGUUGCAAGCUGCUGUACGUGGACACAUAGUUAGGCGGCAUGCUGUGGGUAGCCUUCGAUGUGUCAAAGCCAUUGUUAAAAUGCAAGCGCUUGUCCGAAAACGCCGUGCUCGCUUGCUUCUAAAACGGUCAAACAUUGAAGAAAAUUUAGAUGAAAAGAAUGGAAUUAACAAUCAUGGUUCAUUCAUGGAGAAAGAAAAUACGGGGACCGAGCCAUACACAUAUACUUCCAUAGAGAAGUUGCUAAGUAAUGCAUUUGCACGUCAGCUUCUGGAAUCAACACCCAAGACCAAAACCAUCAAUAUCAAGUGUGAUCCUUCCAAGUCGGACUCAGCCUGGAAAUGGUUGGAGCGCUGGAUGUCCGUUGCAUCAGUGGAAAAUGGACAGUCACAGAAAUUAGAGUUUGCUAAAGAUCAACAAGGUAAGGACGACAUCGUGGAAGCAGACUGCCAACUAGAAACUGCAGUAUCAUCUCCAGAAAAUUGUCAAUCAAGAGACAUCAAGACUAGUGCUGAAGCAUUGUCACUGGCUUCCGAAGCUGAUAAUAAUGUCAACACAUAUGAUGCAGACAGCUACAACUUUCAAGAAUGCAGGCCAACCGUAUCUUCAGUGAGUCACAGCCACAAGCAGUCCCAUCCUCAAAAUGUUGAACAAGCAAAUUUGAGCAAUAACACAUUAGAAUCUCUACCUGAUGAUCAUAGAGCAUCUGAUGUUUGCAAAGCUGAGCCUGAUUCAUUUCAUGAUCAAUCUGAAAUGGAACGCAGGCAGCAUGUGGACGUGUCCGAGAGAACUGCACCUGAAGGUUCUGAAAUUGAUGGAAAGAAAUCUUCAUCCGUAUCAAGAAAGGCAUCAAAUCCUGCAUUUAUUGCAGUUCAAUCGAAGUUUGAAGAACUUAGUUCAGCUGCCAAUUUAGGAAAAUCAGUUGGUUUGUCCAAUCAAGAUGCUGGUGUAGAUUAUUCUAUGGAUGCUGUUUUACCUGGCACAAAUCAUGCAUUUGGUGCCAGGGAAAUUGAUCAUGCUGAAAGUUCUAUUCCCCAAACUUCUGGAAUUCAAGUUGGUGGCUCUGAAUGUGGGACUGAACUUUCUAUUUCUUCCACACUUGAUUCUCCGGAUAGGUCUGAGGUUGGAGUGGUUGAUUUUGAGAAGGAAACCAAAAGUUCGGAGUACGGCACUGAAAAUCCUAAGAGCAGUCUAAACUUGGAAGUUGAUGAAAAGGUUGAGUCCAUACUCUCGGAGAGAGAUGUAUCACACUCAAAUUUGAGUCAGCCAGAGAAACAGGAGAACAGUACUGCUGUUGAAUCCGAGCAUGUGAGCUCUAUAGUGACUGUUGAAUCAUCUGAGAUAGAGGAGAAGCCAGAUUCUAUUGCCACUGGUGUGCUUGUGGAGAUGGAAUCUGAGUCAAGCCAUCCAGUGUCUAAAUCAUCACCUGAAGCUUCUCCAAGAAGCCAUGUAACAAUCCCUGAAUCCCAUGGAACACCUUCUAGUCAGGUGUCAGUGAAGCCCAAGAGAAUCAGGAGUGGGAAGCAUGGUACCAAACAUAAACAUGGACCUGUAUCUACUGGUAAAGAAUCCCAAUUGGAACCUAAUGAAGAUAAUGGUGCAAGAAGUAUCUCAGAGCAUUUAUCGAGGGAGCAUAAAGCAGGGAAGCGGCGCAACUCCUUUGGGACAGCUAAAACUGAUCAUGGUGAUCAAGAACCAAGGGAAAGUAGUAGUAGCAACUCUCUGCCGAGUUAUAUGCAAGCAACAGAAUCAGCAAGAGCCAAAGCUCUUGCUAAUAACUCUCCAAGAUCAAGUCCUGAUACGCAGUACAAGGAUGUGUACAUUAAAAAAAGACAAUCCCUAUCUGGUUCAAACACAAGACAGGGGUCACCUCGUGUCCAGCGGUCUCUGUCUCAGGCACAGCAGGCUGCCAAGGGAAAUGGAACUCAUUCUCCUCAAGAGAGGAAGUGGCUAAGAUGAACAUAUCGAUGACACAAUGCACAUGAUGCUCAAGAUUCCUUGAAGGUUUAUUUGCGCGGAUUUGACCAAUUUACAGGACUGGCCAUCUGCUGGUGAUUUCUGGCAUUUUGCUCUUUAUGAUUCAUACUAAAACUGGUACCUCAGGCUCAUACUUUUCAGAGGCGGAGAGAUGUGAAGAGACAAAUUUCAUGUAAGACUGUUUUUAUCGGAAGAGACUCCUGCACAAGUUGGGUUUGGGUGUCAGGAUCACCUCCAAGCAAAGACAUCAUGGUCAUCAAACUCAAAUUCCUUAGUGUCUGAUGACAAUUUACCACCAGGCUUUGAAGGAACUCAGCCUGCAAAUCUCCUUUGGAAUAAAUUACCCCAAAUACCUCUUAUCAAAUGGAAAUGCCCUCCUAGAUUUGUAUUGGAUGAUGCUUGGAGAGUGGUUGCUGGAGAAGAAAGUGUAGAAGUUGAACGUGAAAAUAGGCGGGAGAACACAGUGCUUGAGGCAAUUUAUCCACGACCAUCUGCUAUUCCUCCAGAUCCUUCUACUGAUGCGGGUGCAGAAAUCUCUUCUGAUGAACCAGUUACUCAUAUUCCCAUCACUCCUAUUGAAGAUGAAGAUGCACCUGCACCUACAAAUGCAUUAUUUGAUUCUGUGACAAUGAACACUCUUCCCCUCAGCUUACAGUCCCAGCCCUUGACACCUGGAGCUUCCUCAUCUCAUGUGACAAUUAAUCAUCCCCAGAGAGCCCCUGCAACUGAGGUAAUCACUGGAGUGGAUCUUGAUGUUGUAGCAGCUGCACAUGCUGCCUUGAGUGCGGUAAUGACCAACACCAAUCAAGGAAAUAUGAUUGACCGCGACUUGCUCAUCAAAAUUCUGAGUGACCCAAAAAUGGUUGAACAAUUGGUCAAGAACCAUGGAUCCUCCACUAGUACACAAACCAUGCCAGCGACCAGCAUGCAGAAUGUGCCAACUAAUAUGCAGCAUAUGGCAUCUAUCAGUACUCGAAUGCCUGUUGCAAGCAUGCAGAAUGUGCCAGCCACUGCAAUUCCAAAUAUCGCAUCAACAACCACACAGAGUAUACCAGGCCCUAGCAUGCCAAAUAGGCCCAGGCCAAUGACACCAGGAAUAAGUUUAUCUGAUCAGUCUCAGAUUUCUAUUAGUAGAACAGAUCGGCCUUUAGCCCACAUUAGCAGACCAGAAGUUGUUGCACCUCCUGUUACAGCUGCUUCUGGUGGAGUCUUCUACCCUCCGAGUCGGAUUGCAUCUAUUUCCAAUAUGCGGCCGCCAGUACCUGAUGUUGUCUCAGCUCCAUCUCCAUCUGUAGGGGCUCCUGUUGCAAAGGAUAUUAACUAUUAUAAGAGCCUGAUCCAGCAACAUGGAGGAGAUAGACAAGAACCAAUGCUACAUUACAACAACCGCAGCAACACUCCCUUGCUCUCGGCCAGAGAACCCUUAAAUAACCCGAAAUCCAGAGAUAUGAAACCCAAAAUAAUGAAGCCUUGUAUGUAUUUUAACAGUUCAAGGGGAUGUCGGAAUGGAGCCAACUGUGCAUAUCAACAUGAUGAAUCAUCACCCCAGCAGAGGGUUAAUGGAAUGCCAGAUUCACAAAGUGCUAAGAGAAUGAAAAUGGAUAGGGAGAUCACUGGUACAUAAUCCGUACAGUUAGCAUCUCCAUGUAUAUCAUUUUUUGUUUUUUGGGUGGAAUGCUAAUUGUAGUGGGCCGUUUUCUUUUGUUUUCAUUUUUAAUACUAUACAGCAAAAGAAUCAAUUUUUAAUUUAUUUAUUUCUGAUCGGUUGAGAUUA
Molecule: RNA transcript, 4452 nt
Organism: Coffea arabica (coffee)
Lineage: Eukaryota; Viridiplantae; Streptophyta; Magnoliopsida; Gentianales; Rubiaceae
Gene name: protein IQ-DOMAIN 32
Source: RefSeq, a predicted model, not a curated record